Molecule: ribosomal RNA, 274 nt
Filed under: uncultured bacterium
Lineage: Bacteria
Description: partial 16S ribosomal RNA
Rfam family: Archaeal small subunit ribosomal RNA
Source: RNAcentral
AAACCAGCACCUCAAGUGGUCAGGAUGAUUAUUGGGCCUAAAGCAUCCGUAGCCGGCUCUGUAAGUUUUCGGUUAAAUCUGUACGCUUAACGUACAGGCUGCUGGGAAUACUGUAGAGCUAGGGAGUGGGAGAGGUAGACGGUACUCGGGAGGAAGUGGUAAAAUGCUUUGAUCUCUCGAUGACCACCUGUGGCGAAGGCGGUCUACCAGAACACGUCCGACGGUGAGGGAUGAAAGCUGGGGGAGCAAACCGUAUUAGAAACCCCAGUAGUCC